UGAGGAAUAUUGGUCAAUGGGCGAGAGCCUGAACCAGCCAAGUAGCGUGAAGGAUGACUGCCCUAUGGGUUGUAAACUUCUUUUAUAUAGGAAUAAAGUGAGCCACGUGUGGCUUUUUGUAUGUACUAUAUGAAUAAGGAUCGGCUAACUCCGUGCCAGCAGCCGCGGUAAUACGGAGGAUCCAAGCGUUAUCCGGAUUUAUUGGGUUUAAAGGGAGCGUAGGCGGAAGCUUAAGUCAGUCUGUGAAAGUUUGCGGCUCAACCGUAAAAUUGCAGUUGAUACUGGGUUUCUUGAGUACAGUAGAGGUAAGCGGAAUUCGUGGUGUAGCGGUGAAAUGCUUAGAUAUCACGAAGAACUCCAAUUGCGAAGGCAGCUUGCUGGACUGUAACUGACGCUGAUGCUCGAAAGUGUGGGUAUCAAACAGG
This 425-nucleotide ribosomal RNA is filed under the name uncultured prokaryote. Its description in RNAcentral is "bacterial SSU rRNA". It matches the Rfam family "Bacterial small subunit ribosomal RNA", at positions 355 to 776 of the family's 1533-position model. The record is from RNAcentral. RNAcentral also lists the same sequence under 1 other name.